RNAcentral lists this ribosomal RNA (465 nucleotides) under uncultured bacterium. RNAcentral describes it as "partial 16S ribosomal RNA". It matches the Rfam family "Bacterial small subunit ribosomal RNA", at positions 28 to 507 of the family's 1533-position model. The record is from RNAcentral.
GACGAACGCUGGCGGCGUGCUUAACACAUGCAAGUCGAACGGAAAGGCCCCUUUGGGGGUACUCGAGUGGCGAACGGGUGAGUAACAAGUGAGUAACCUGCCCUUGACUUCGGGAUAACUUCAGGAAACUGGGGCUAAUACCGGAUAGGAAUCCUUGCUGCAUGGUGGGGGUUGGAAAGCUUCGGCGGUUUUGGAUGGACUCGCGGCUUAUCAGCUUGUUGGUGGGGUAGUGGCUUACCAAGGCUUUGACGGGUAGCCGGCCUGAGAGGGCGACCGGCCACAUUGGGACUGAGAUACGGCCCAGACUCCUACGGGAGGCAGCAGUGGGGAAUAUUGCACAAUGGGCGGAAGCCUGAUGCAGCAACGCCGCGUGCGGGAUGACGGCCUUCGGGUUGGAAACCGCUUUCAGCAGGGGCGAAGCUUGUGGUGACGGUACCUGCAGAAGAAGCACCGGCUAACUACAUG